UACGGAGGGUGCAAGCGUUGUCCGGAAUUAUUGGGCGUAAAGGGCUUGUAGGCGGUUUGUCGCGUCUGCUGUGAAAUUUCGGGGCUCAACCCCGAACUUGCAGUGGGUACGGGCAGACUAGAGUGUGGUAGGGGAGACUGGAAUUCCUGGUGUAGCGGUGAAAUGCGCAGAUAUCAGGAGGAACACCGAUGGCGAAGGCAGGUCUCUGGGCCAUAACUGACGCUGAGAAGCGAAAGCAUGGGGAGCGAACAGG
This 253-nucleotide ribosomal RNA is filed under the name uncultured bacterium. RNAcentral describes it as "partial 16S ribosomal RNA". It matches the Rfam family "Bacterial small subunit ribosomal RNA", at positions 524 to 776 of the family's 1533-position model. The record is from RNAcentral.